Molecule: long non-coding RNA, 232 nt
Filed under: Solanum tuberosum (potato)
Lineage: Eukaryota; Viridiplantae; Streptophyta; Magnoliopsida; Solanales; Solanaceae
Description: long non-coding RNA (STUB_LNC001717)
Source: RNAcentral
CACCCAUUAUCUGUUUAAUCCACCCUAUUUACCCAUUACCCACACAAAUAAACCCAUUUUAUUUAAGUCUAUCUUCUUUUAUCUAGAACGUUGACCGGUGCUCAUAGCUUCUGAUGCUUCUGGUGGUGGUAUAGUUACAGAUCCAAACAAAACCAUGGUACUCAGAAACAGUCACCUUGGCAGAAAGGAAAAAGCAAAAUGUACUCUCUUGACUCUUUUUUCAACUCUUUCA